UAGUCCACGCCGUAGACGAUGAGUGCCAGCUGUUGGAUCUUCGGAUUCAGUGGCGCAGUUAACGCAUUAAGCACUCCGCCUGGGAAGUACGGUCGCAAGAUUAAAACUCAAAGGAAUUGACGGGGACCCGCACAAGCGGUGGAGCAUGUGGUUUAAUUCGAGGCAACGCGAAGAACCUUACCAGGACUUGACAUCCUUAUCGCGCGCACCAGAGAUGGAGCGCUUCAGCUUGGCUGGAUAAGUGACAGGUGCUGCACGGCUGUCGUCAGCUCGUGUCGUGAGAUGUUGGGUUAAGUCCCGCAACGAGCGCAACCCUCAUCCUUAGUUGCCAGCGGUUCGGCCGGGAACUCUAAGGAAACUGCCGGCGUUAAGCCGGAGGAAGGUGGGGACGACGUCAAGUCAUCAUGGCCCUUAUGUCCUGGGCUACACACGUGCUACAAUGGCAGUGACAAUGGGAUAAUCCAUAAAAGCUGUCUCAGUUCGGAUUGUGGG
Molecule: ribosomal RNA, 492 nt
Filed under: uncultured bacterium
Lineage: Bacteria
Description: bacterial SSU rRNA
Rfam family: Bacterial small subunit ribosomal RNA
Source: RNAcentral